RNAcentral lists this ribosomal RNA (1269 nucleotides) under metagenome. RNAcentral's name for it is "bacterial LSU rRNA". It matches the Rfam family "Bacterial large subunit ribosomal RNA", at positions 1672 to 2925 of the family's 2925-position model. The record is from RNAcentral.
CCUUGUAUCCCAAGGCGCGUGAGAGAACGCUGGUUAAGGAACUCGGCAAAUUUACACCGUAACUUCGGGAGAAGGUGUGCCCUUUGAUGUGUAGGACUUCGCGUCUGAAGCGUCGGGGGGUUGCAGAGAAACGGGGGCGGCGACUGUUUACUAAAAACACAGGACUCUGCGAACUCGCAAGAGGACGUAUAGGGUCUGACGCCUGCCCGGUGCUGGAAGGUUAAGGGGAGUUGUCAGCGCAAGCGAAGCAACGAACCGAAGCCCCAGUAAACGGCGGCCGUAACGAUAACGGUCCUAAGGUAGCGAAAUUCCUUGUCGGGUAAGUUCCGACCUGCACGAAUGGCGUAACGACUUCCCCACUGUCUCGACCAGCGACUCAGCGAAAUUGUAAUCGCGGUGAAGAUACCGUGUACCCGCGGCAAGACGGAAAGACCCCAUGAACCUUUACUGCAACUUGACAGUGAAGCUCGGGACAGACUGCGUAGGAUAGGUGGGAGGCUGUGAAGCCGGGAUUCUGGUCUCGGCAGAGCCAACCUUGAAAUACCACCCUGUUUGUUCUGGGCUUCUAACCCAGGCGAGUAAGCCUCGUCGGGGACACUGUCUGGUGGGCGGUUUGACUGGGGCGGUCGCCUCCCAAAAAGUAACGGAGGCGCGCGAAGGUUCCCUCAGGCUGAUUGGAAACCAGCCGUAGAGUGUAAUGGCACAAGGGAGCUUGACUGUGAGACCGACAGGUCGAGCAGGUGCGAAAGCAGGUCAUAGUGAUCCGGCAGUUCUGUAUGGAAGGGCUGUCGCUCAUCGGACAAAAGGUACUCUGGGGAUAACAGGCUGAUCGCGCCUGAGAGUUCAUAUCGGCGGCGCGGUUUGGCACCUCGAUGUCGGCUCAUCGCAUCCUGGGGCUGGAGCAGGUCCCAAGGGUUUGGCUGUUCGCCAAUUAAAGCGGUACGCGAGCUGGGUUUAGAACGUCGUGAGACAGUUCGGUCCCUAUCUGCCGUGGGCGCAGGAUACUUGAGAGGGUCUAACCAUAGUACGAGAGGACCUGGUUGGACGUACCUCUGGUGAUCCGGUUGUUCCGCCUGGAGCAUCGCCGGGUAGCUAUGUACGGAAUGGAUAACCACUGAAAGCAUCUAAGUGGGAAGCCGGCCUCAAGAUGAGGUAUCCCGGGACAUUAGUCCCCUGAAGGCCCGUCGAAGACUACGACGUAAUAGGCUAGGUGUGGAAGCGCAGCAAUGCGUGGAGCUAACUAGUACUAAUCGGCCGUGAGGCUUGACC